Triticum aestivum (bread wheat) is the source of this 1091-nucleotide RNA transcript. It is a transcript of the gene named photosystem II protein D1-like, with no coding region annotated. The record is from RefSeq and is a predicted model, not a curated record. The transcript has a single exon. Lineage: Eukaryota; Viridiplantae; Streptophyta; Magnoliopsida; Poales; Poaceae.
GAUCUUACCAUGACUGCAAUUUUAGAGAGACGCGAAAGUACAAGCCUGUGGGGUCGCUUCUGCAACUGGAUAACUAGCACUGAAAAUCGUCUUUACAUCGGAUGGUUCGGUGUUUUGAUGAUCCCUACCUUAUUGACCGCAACUUCUGUAUUAUCGCCUUCAUCGCUUCCCCUCCAGUAGAUAUUGAUGGUAUUCGUGAGCCUGUUUCUGGUUCUUUACUUUAUGGAAACAAUAUUAUCUCUGGUGCUAUUAUCCCUACUUCUGCGGCGAUCGGAUUGCACUUUUACCCAAUUUGGGAAGCUGCAUCUGUUGAUGAGUGGUUAUACAAUGGUGGUCCUUAUGAGCUAAUUGUUCUACACUUCUUACUUGGUGUAGCUUGUUAUAUGGGUCGUGAGUGGGAACUUAGUUUCCGUCUGGGUAUGCGUCCUUGGAUUGCUGUUGCAUAUUCAGCUCCUGUUGCAGCUGCUACUGCUGUUUUCUUGAUUUACCCUAUUGGUCAAGGAAGCUUUUCUGAUGGUAUGCCUUUAGGAAUCUCUGGUACUUUCAACUUUAUGAUUGUAUUCCAGGCAGAGCACAACAUCCUUAGGCAUCCAUUCCACAUGUUAGGUGUAGCUGGUGUAUUCGGCGGUUCCCUAUUCAGUGCUAUGCAUGGUUCCUUGGUAACCUCUAGUUUGAUCAGGGAAACUACUGAAAAUGAAUCUCCUAAUGAGGGUUACAAAUUUGGUCAAGAGGAAGAAACUUAUAAUAUUGUGGCUGCUCAUGGUUAUUUUGGCCAACUAAUCUUCCAAUAUGCUAGUUUCAACAACUCUCGUUCUUUACACUUCUUCUUGGCUGCUUGGCCUGUAGUAGGAAUCUGGUUCACUGCUUUAGGUAUUAGUACUAUGGCUUUCAACCUAAAUGGUUUCAAUUUCAACCAAUCUGUAGUUGAUAGUCAAGGUCGCGUUAUUAAUACUUGGGCUGAUAUCAUCAACCGUGCUAACCUUGGUAUGGAAGUAAUGCACGAACAUAAUGCUCACAACUUCCCUCUAGACUUAGCUGCUGUUGAAGUUCCAUCUAUUAAUGGAUAAGGUUUUUCUGCUAACAUAUAAGAA